GGAUGAAGAACGUAGCGAAAUGCGAUAAGUAAUGUGAAUUGCAGAAUUCAGUGAAUCAUCGAAUCUUUGAACGCACAUUGCGCCCGCCAGUAUUCUGGCGGGCAUGCCUGUUCGAGCGUCAUUACAACCCUCAGGCCCCCGGGCCUGGCGUUGGGGAUCGGCGGAAAGCCCCCUGUGGGCAUACGCCGUCCCCUAAAUACAGUGGCGGUCCCGCCGCAGCUUCCAUUGCGUAGUAGCUAACACCUCGCAACUGGAGAGCGGCGCGGCCAAGCCGUAAAACACCCAACUUCUGAAUGUUGACCUCGAAUCAGGUAGGAAUACCCGCUGAACUUAAGCAUAUCAAUAAGCGGAGGA
This 354-nucleotide unclassified non-coding RNA is filed under the name soil metagenome. Its description in RNAcentral is "partial contains 5.8S ribosomal RNA, internal transcribed spacer 2, and large subunit ribosomal RNA". The stretch from base 2 to 121 matches the Rfam family "5.8S ribosomal RNA", at positions 35 to 154 of the family's 154-position model. The record is from RNAcentral.